GACGAACGCUGGCGGCGUGCCUAAUACAUGCAAGUUGAGCGCUGAAGGUUGGUACUUGUACCAACUGGAUGAGCAGCGAACGGGUGAGUAACGCGUGGGGAAUCUGCCUUUGAGCGGGGGACAACAUUUGGAAACGAAUGCUAAUACCGCAUAAAAACUUUAAACACAAGUUUUAAGUUUGAAAGAUGCAAUUGCAUCACUCAAAGAUGAUCCCGCGUUGUAUUAGCUAGUUGGUGAGGUAAAGGCUCACCAAGGCGAUGAUACAUAGCCGACCUGAGAGGGUGAUCGGCCACAUUGGGACUGAGACACGGCCCAAACUCCUACGGGAGGCAGCAGUAGGGAAUCUUCGGCAAUGGACGAAAGUCUGACCCGAGCAAACGCCGCGUGAGUGAAAGAAAGGUUUUUCGGAU
Molecule: ribosomal RNA, 410 nt
Filed under: Lactococcus lactis
Lineage: Bacteria; Bacillati; Bacillota; Bacilli; Lactobacillales; Streptococcaceae
Description: bacterial SSU rRNA
Rfam family: Bacterial small subunit ribosomal RNA
Source: RNAcentral